RNAcentral lists this ribosomal RNA (1375 nucleotides) under uncultured bacterium. RNAcentral describes it as "bacterial SSU rRNA". It matches the Rfam family "Bacterial small subunit ribosomal RNA". The record is from RNAcentral.
GAGUUUGAUCAUGGCUCAGAGUGAACGCUGGCGGCGUGCCUAAUACAUGCAAGUCGAACGGAGAUUAAGUAGCUUGCUAUUUAAUCUUAGUGGCGCACGGGUGAGUAAUAUAUAGCUAAUCUGCCCUACACUAGAGGACAACAGUUGGAAACGACUGCUAAUACUCUAUACUCCUUCUUUACAUAAGUUAAGUCGGGAAAGUUUUUCGGUGUAGGAUGAGGCUAUAUCGUAUCAGCUAGUUGGUAGGGUAACGGCCUACCAAGGCUAUGACGCGUAACUGGUCUGAGAGGAUGAUCAGUCACACUGGAACUGAGACACGGUCCAGACUCCUACGGGAGGCAGCAGUAGGGAAUAUUGCUCAAUGGGGGAAACCCUGAAGCAGCAACGCCGCGUGGAGGAUGACACUUUUCGGAGCGUAAACUCCUUUUCUUGGGAAAGAAUUAUGACGGUACCCAAGGAAUAAGCACCGGCUAACUCCGUGCCAGCAGCCGCGAUAAUACGGAGGGUGCAAGCGUUACUCGGAAUCACUGGGCGUAAAGGACGCGUAGGCGGAUUAUCAAGUCUCUUGUGAAAUCUAACGGCUUAACCGUUAAACUGCUUGGGAAACUGAUAAUCUAGAGUAAGGGAGAGGCAGAUGGAAUUCUUGGUGUAGGGGUAAAAUCCGUAGAGAUCAAGAAGAAUACCCAUUGCGAAAGCGAUCUGCUGGAACUUAACUGACGCUAAUGCGUGAAAGCGUGGGGAGCAAACAGGAUUAGAUACCGUGGUAGUCCACGCCAUAAACGAUGUAUACUAGUUGUUGCUUCGCUAGUCGAGGCAGUAAUGCACCUAACGGAUUAAGUAUACCGCCUGGGGAGUACGGUCGCAGGAUUAAAACUCAAAGGAUAUAGACGGGGACCCGCACAAGCGGUGGAGCAUGUGGUUUAAUUCGAAGAUACGCGAAGACCCUUACCCGGACUUGAUAUCUAACAAAUCAUCCAGAGAUGGAAGAGUGUCUGCUCGCAGAAAUGUUAAGACAGGUGCUGCACGGCUGUCGUCAGCUCGUGUCGUGAGAUGUUGGGUUAAGUCCCGCAACGAGCGCAACCCACGUCAUUAGCUGCUAACGGUUCGGCCGAGCACUCUAAUGAGACUGCCUUCGUAAGGAGGAGGAAGGUGUGGACGACGUCAAGUCAUCAUGGCCCUUAUGUCCGGGGCGACACACGUGCUACAAUGGCGUAUACAAUAAGACGCAAUAUCGCGAGAUGGAGCAAAUCUAUAAAAUACGUCCCAGUUCGGAUUGGAGUCUGCAACUCGACUCCAUGAAGCCGGAAUCGCUAGUAAUCGUAGAUCAGCCAUGCUACGGUGAAUACGUUCCCGGGUCUUGUACACACCGCCCGUC